UGGAGGCCACAGCUAGAGGAGCUGGGGGAGGAAGGCAGGCAGGCAGUCAUCCAGAAGAGAUCCAGCAGGGGCUUCAGGACAGAGAAGGUCUUGCCCCCCACCAGAAAUGUGCUUGAGCAGAGCUGUUCUUCCAGAGGGGUUCCUGUGCCCAGGACCAGGAGAAGACUCCAUCCCAACAUGGGGCAUGUUAUGCCAGCCCCCGAAACCACGUCACAGUCUUUCUCUAAGCCGUAGCAGAAGGACCCGCUCUGAGGAUGUGCGUCUUCACUGGUGCUGACUCCACCACUGACCAUCCGAGGUCAAACAGCCAGCUCGGUGUGCCCUGCACUGGAAUCCGUCCACGGGUCGACGACUGGAUGCGGGUUUGGGGGAUGUUGAGCAGUCACAAAGCACAAGGUUAGCUGAAUUCAGAGACCAGUAACGCACAACUUGCCCUUAAGGAUCAUCAAACCAGUUUGGGGUUCACAAAAUGCUUUAAUGGAGGGCAGUGGGGGUUGUUUUCUGAGUGGGAAUGUGUUAGGGGAUGUGGUUGCAGGCAACAGAGAAGUGGGUACCGUGCCUGGGUGUGGGAAUGCUGACGCCGUGGUGUGCGUGUGCCCAGCGGCUGCAGAAGACUGGAAGGCUAGCAGAAGGCUGGCAUCGCUACGUCGCCUUUCCCCCAGAGUCACCCAUUGUUUCCGUUUCUGAAACCACCUGAGAAAAAAGUUAGACAUCUCGGACCUUUUCCUUUUAAUUACCUGGUUGGGGGGGGGAGAUAAUUUCAAGGACAUUCUUUAACAUUGCUUGCUUUCCUUGCAGCUAAGCCUUCCUCCAGACCCAGGUGUUCUAGCUUGUAAAUAAAGCUUAUUUUG
This is a long non-coding RNA of Peromyscus leucopus (white-footed mouse), 851 nucleotides long. RefSeq lists it as uncharacterized. The record is from RefSeq and is a predicted model, not a curated record. The transcript is spliced from 3 exons. NCBI's taxonomy places the organism in Eukaryota, Metazoa, Chordata, Mammalia, Rodentia, Cricetidae.